UUAACUAUUGAUAUAGUGCUCGGACGACACGCACUCCAGGGUUUGGUCUCUGGGGAGCGGGGCUCCCCAAAGCAACAGCGUUGUAGACACGGGUGGGAGAUCUACCCUCGCGGGCACGAACUCUGUAAUGAUCCCUCCGCAGGUUCACCUACGGAGA
Molecule: unclassified non-coding RNA, 157 nt
Filed under: uncultured fungus
Lineage: Eukaryota; Fungi
Description: sequence contains ITS1
Source: RNAcentral